RNAcentral lists this ribosomal RNA (496 nucleotides) under uncultured bacterium. Its description in RNAcentral is "partial 16S ribosomal RNA". It matches the Rfam family "Bacterial small subunit ribosomal RNA", at positions 28 to 507 of the family's 1533-position model. The record is from RNAcentral.
GAUGAACGCUGGCGGCGUGCCUAAUACAUGCAAGUCGAGCGAACAGACGAGGAGCUUGCUCCUCUGACGUUAGCGGCGGACGGGUGAGUAACACGUGGAUAACCUACCUAUAAGACUGGGAUAACUUCGGGAAACCGGAGCUAAUACCGGAUAAUAUAUUGAACCGCAUGGUUCAAUAGUGAAAGACGGUUUUGCUGUCACUUAUAGAUGGAUCCGCGCCGCAUUAGCUGGUUGGUAAGGUAACGGCUUACCAGGCAACGAUGCGUAGCCGACCUGAGAGGGUGAUCGGCCACACUGGAACUGAGACACGGUCCAGACUCCUACGGGAGGCAGCAGUAGGGAAUCUUCCGCAAUGGGCGAAAGCCUGACGGAGCAACGCCGCGUGAGUGAUGAAGGUCUUCGGAUCGUAAAACUCUGUUAUUAGGGAAGAACAAAUGUGUAAGUAACUAUGCACGUCUUGACGGUACCUAAUCAGAAAGCCACGGCUAACUACGUG